CCUGACAGGGUUACUCUGAGUGAUUUCCGCUAAGGGAAUCUUUUGGCACCUCUAAAAAUGGUGCAGAAUAAGGGGGGGGCAAGUCUGGUGUCAGCCGCCGCGGUA
Molecule: ribosomal RNA, 105 nt
Filed under: uncultured crenarchaeote
Lineage: Archaea; Thermoproteati; Thermoproteota
Description: partial 16S ribosomal RNA
Rfam family: Archaeal small subunit ribosomal RNA
Source: RNAcentral